Molecule: ribosomal RNA, 732 nt
Filed under: Gymnothorax unicolor (brown moray)
Lineage: Eukaryota; Metazoa; Chordata; Actinopteri; Anguilliformes; Muraenidae
Description: partial 12S ribosomal RNA
Rfam family: Bacterial small subunit ribosomal RNA
Source: RNAcentral
GAUAAACAUUAAGCCAUAAGCGAAAGCUUGACUUAGCCAGGGUUAAAUAGAGCCGGUAAAACUCGUGCCAGCCACCGCGGUUAUACGAGAGGCCCAAAUUGACGCAGCACGGCGUAAAGUGUGAUUAGAGACAAACCCCUACUAAAGCCAAACGCCCCCUAUGCUGUCAUACGCCAUGGGGAGAACGAAGCCCAACAACGAAAGUGGCUUUAUAAAUCUUGAACUCACGACAGCUAAGACACAAACUGGGAUUAGAUACCCCACUAUGCUUAACCUUAAACCAAGGCGAUUAGACCUACAAACCUCGCCCGCCAGGGGACUACGAGCGUCAGCUUAAAACCCAAAGGACUUGGCGGUGCCUCAAACCCGCCUAGAGGAGCCUGUCCUAUAACCGAUAAUCCUCGUUAAACCUCACCCUUCCUUGCCAAUUCCGCCUAUAUACCGCCGUCGCCAGUUUACCUUGUGAAAGAUCAACAGUAAGCAGAACGGGCAACACCCAACACGUCAGGUCGAGGUGUAGCGAAUGGAGGGGAAAGAGAUGGGCUACAUUUUCUGAUAACAGAACAUUACGAAAAAUGCAAUGAAAAAUGCACAGAUGAAGGUGGAUUUAGCAGUAAAAAGAAAAAAGAGAGUUCUUUUGAAUCUGGCUCUGAGGCGCGUACACACCGCCCGUCACUCUCCUCGAAUAAAAAGAAACAAUACAUAAAGACUAGAAAAAUAGAGAGGAGGCAA